AGUCCCAGCCUCUUUCAUUAUGUACUGAGAGGUGCCACCCAGGUUUUAGGAAGAAAAUGAAAGAGGGAAAGCCAUUUUGCUGUUAUGAUUGCAUCCCAUGUCCAGAAGGGAAGAUUUCAGAUCAGGAGGGUAAGUAUCUGAUAUACGAGAUCCCUUGAAUCAGGGUAUUAAAGACAGAUCCAGUCAAUAAAAAUGACGGUGCCUUCUGUGUAUCUAUAUAAUGGGUAGUUCUGGUGAUAUCUUAGCAGAGAAGAAAACUUUCAAAGGUAGUGUUUAGUAUCUCCUACACACUGAGGUUUCAAACACAUUACCUGUUUGUUUGCUUUUUUUUAAUUGAAGCUUGUGAUUCCCCUCCCCCCCAACUUAACUGUUCUGGUUCAUGCAUUUGUGAAAUGGACACUUAACUUUUGUAAUGUAGCUUAAGGGGCCCUGCCUUUGAAUUUCACUUCCUUCAAUGGAUGUGAAAUAAGGAGAUCACUCUGUGAUCAUCCAGGACCACAUCGUUUUCAUCAUUUUAUUUUCUACAUGUCUGUUUGUCUGUGUAUUUAUAUAUAUUUAAUUUACUUCUCCCUCCCCCACCUCAUCUCCUCUCUUUCCCAUGCCUGAACUUUUUUGUAACCCCUAGAGGGCUACGAAGAACAACCACCAUUGACUUGUUGGUGUGGCUGGAAACUGUAAAUGCUCAAAAAUUAAUUAAUGAAGGAAGAAGGUGAAAAUAAACAGAAUACAAGAACCAAUCAAAAUGUAUCAAUUACCAAACAUAUGGUUCUUACAUAUUUUAUGGUCAUGACCUAAGAUUAGAUCAUAUUGUGACCAGGUAUUAACUGAAAUAAAUGUCACAAUGUGGUAUGAAGUGUCAAGAGAUGCUCAGCGUAGCUUUAAAGCUACAAAAACACUGACAUUGCUAUAGCAUAUGAACAUAGAACAUUAUCUGUCAGGAAAGAGCAAUUUCAGCAUGUUGCUGAGACUAAGGCUACAUGUUUUCUUUUAUAGACAUGAAUGACUGUAAUAAAUGUUCAGAUGAAGAAUAUCCAAACAAGAACCAGGACAUGUGUAUUCCCAAGGAUAUAAGUUUCUUGUCUUAUGAAGAACCUUUGGGCAUCAGCUUAGCUUGCUUUGCUCUUUCAUUUUCUUUGAUCACUGCUCUGGUUCUGGGAACAUUUAUGAAGCACCACAACACAGCCCUUGUCAAAGCCAACAACCGAGACCUCACCUACAC
This is a non-coding RNA of Podarcis lilfordi (Lilford's wall lizard), 1219 nucleotides long. Lineage: Eukaryota; Metazoa; Chordata; Lepidosauria; Squamata; Lacertidae. The record is from the annotation of a GenBank genome assembly.